RNAcentral lists this ribosomal RNA (253 nucleotides) under uncultured bacterium. RNAcentral describes it as "partial 16S ribosomal RNA". It matches the Rfam family "Bacterial small subunit ribosomal RNA", at positions 524 to 776 of the family's 1533-position model. The record is from RNAcentral.
UACGGGGGGGGCAAGCGUUGUUCGGAAUUACCGGGCGUAAAGGGCUCGUAGGCGGCCAACUAAGUCAGACGUGAAAUCCCUCGGCUUAACCGGGGAACUGCGUCUGAUACUGGUUGGCUUGAAUCCGGGAGAGGGAUGUGGAAUUCCAGGUGUAGCGGUGAAAUGCGUAGAUAUCUGGAGGAACACCGGUGGCGAAGGCGGCAUCCUGGACCGGUAUUGACGCUGAGGAGCGAAAGCCAGGGGAGCAAACGGG